RNAcentral lists this long non-coding RNA (512 nucleotides) under Salmo salar (Atlantic salmon). Its description in RNAcentral is "lncRNA (ENSSSAG00000093099.1)". Lineage: Eukaryota; Metazoa; Chordata; Actinopteri; Salmoniformes; Salmonidae. The record is from RNAcentral.
CAUGUCAACGCAGAGGCCAAAUCACAACGCAUGGAGGACAUAUAUAUUGGUCAGAAGAAGGGGAGAGCUGCAGCAUCAACAGUUGGCACCAUUGUGGGUGGUGAUAGUGGUGGAUUGUUCUUCAUUGUGUUAGUUGGUGUAGGAUGGAUCAUGUCAACCAGAAGACAGUGUAAAUAAGAACUGUCAAUGCAGGGAGACCAGGAGCAGCAGUACCAGCAGUAGCAGGAGGAGAAGAGGGCCAACCAGGGGACAAGUACACCACCAGAAGAGAGGAAAGAACUAAAGUUCCCCCAACAGGCAGAUGCAUUUUACAGCACUGUGCAGCAACCAGCGGUACAAGAUCCCCAUCAAGUGGACAAAGCAUGGAAUAACUUCAACAAACCAGACGGCGAACUGCACAAUGGGAGAUACAUCUGUCUCAGAGUCCCCCUGAUGUUACAUGUCUGUAGCUAGGCUCCCAUUAAUUUGUCCAGUGAUCUUUAGUCAACAUUUAGCAAGUUUGCACAGAAAAU